This is a long non-coding RNA of Cyprinus carpio carpio, 501 nucleotides long. The record is from Ensembl. Lineage: Eukaryota; Metazoa; Chordata; Actinopteri; Cypriniformes; Cyprinidae.
GUGCGGAUUCCUGUGGAAACUAUUGGGAUGAGAUCAGAGGCGAGGCAGGAUUGGACUAAAAGAAACGAAUGGGAUAAAAGUCGCUACACAAAGCUGAUGAUUCACCUGCAGGAACUAUUUGGAUGGAGGAGGGCAGGUAAAUGGAGACGACGGAUAUCCCCUGCACAGGAGCACUCGGUCCCGAGGGUGAAAGGAAGCCGGUUUUUGAGAGUGUGGUAAUGACAGCUCAGAAGUGUUAAAAACAGUAGAGAGAGAGAGUGGGCUAGCUGUAUUAAAGUUUGAGUGGGGGCUUGUCAACAAGGUGAGCGCUUAGGAAAUGAAUGCUGUGAGCAGUGGCAGAGUAUGCCAGCAAAAAGGAAUUUAAAACACUCAUGCAUAUGCAUGUGGCCACACACAACCCUGUUUAUGCCGUAACUGAGCUCCAAAACUUUAAAUAACUCACUAUUUAAUGUGUACCACACACAAACCUCACUGACUCAAUGUGUGUCAAAUAUUAUUCCG